RNAcentral lists this ribosomal RNA (459 nucleotides) under Salmonella enterica subsp. enterica serovar Muenchen. RNAcentral describes it as "bacterial SSU rRNA". It matches the Rfam family "Bacterial small subunit ribosomal RNA", at positions 1 to 456 of the family's 1533-position model. Lineage: Bacteria; Pseudomonadati; Pseudomonadota; Gammaproteobacteria; Enterobacterales; Enterobacteriaceae. The record is from RNAcentral. RNAcentral also lists the same sequence under 18 other names.
AAAUUGAAGAGUUUGAUCAUGGCUCAGAUUGAACGCUGGCGGCAGGCCUAACACAUGCAAGUCGAACGGUAACAGGAAGCAGCUUGCUGCUUCGCUGACGAGUGGCGGACGGGUGAGUAAUGUCUGGGAAACUGCCUGAUGGAGGGGGAUAACUACUGGAAACGGUGGCUAAUACCGCAUAACGUCGCAAGACCAAAGAGGGGGACCUUCGGGCCUCUUGCCAUCAGAUGUGCCCAGAUGGGAUUAGCUAGUUGGUGAGGUAACGGCUCACCAAGGCGACGAUCCCUAGCUGGUCUGAGAGGAUGACCAGCCACACUGGAACUGAGACACGGUCCAGACUCCUACGGGAGGCAGCAGUGGGGAAUAUUGCACAAUGGGCGCAAGCCUGAUGCAGCCAUGCCGCGUGUAUGAAGAAGGCCUUCGGGUUGUAAAGUACUUUCAGCGGGGAGGAAGGUGUUG